RNAcentral lists this ribosomal RNA (462 nucleotides) under uncultured bacterium. RNAcentral's name for it is "partial 16S ribosomal RNA". It matches the Rfam family "Bacterial small subunit ribosomal RNA", at positions 28 to 507 of the family's 1533-position model. The record is from RNAcentral.
GACGAACGCUGGCGGCGUGCUUAACACAUGCAAGUCGAACGGUGAAGCCCUUCGGGGUGGAUCAGUGGCGAACGGGUGAGUAACACGUGAGCAACCUGCCCCUGGCUCUGGGACAACCACUGGAAACGGUGGCUAAUACCGGAUACGACCCGCCUCGGCAUCGAGUGUGGGUGGAAAGUUUUUCGGCUGUGGAUGGGCUCGCGGCCUAUCAGCUUGUUGGUGAGGUGAAGGCUCACCAAGGCGACGACGGGUAGCCGGCCUGAGAGGGCGACCGGCCACACUGGGACUGAGACACGGCCCAGACUCCUACGGGAGGCAGCAGUGGGGAAUAUUGCACAAUGGGCGAAAGCCUGAUGCAGCGACGCCGCGUGAGGGAUGACGGCCUUCGGGUUGUAAACCUCUUUCAGCUCCGAAGAAGCGAAAGUGACGGUAGGAGCAGAAGAAGCACCGGCUAACUACGUG